CCUACGGGAGGCAGCAGUGGGGAAUAUUGGACAAUGGGCGAAAGCCUGAUCCAGCAAUGCCGCGUGAGUGAUGAAGGCCUUCGGGUCGUAAAGCUCUUUUACCAGGGAUGAUAACGACAGUACCUGGAGAAUAAGCUCCGGCUAACUCCGUGCCAGCAGCCGCGGUAAUACGGAGGGAGCUAGCGUUGUUCGGAAUUACUGGGCGUAAAGAGUACGUAGGCGGUUAUUCAAGUCAGAGGUGAAAGCCCGGGGCUCAACCCCGGAACUGCCUUUGAAACUAGAUAACUAGAGUCUUGGAGAGGUUAGUGGAAUUCCGAGUGUAGAGGUGAAAUUCGUAGAUAUUCGGAAGAACACCAGUGGCGAAGGCGACUAACUGGACAAGUACUGACGCUGAGGUACGAAAGCGUGGGGAGCAAACAGGAUUAGAUACCCUGGUAGUCCACGCCGUAAACGAUGAUAACUAGUUGUUCGGUCACUUGGUGACUGAGUGACGCAGCUAACGCAUUAAGUUAUCCGCCUGGGGAGUACGGUCGCAAGNUUAAAACUUAAAUGAAAUUGACGG
RNAcentral lists this ribosomal RNA (562 nucleotides) under uncultured bacterium. RNAcentral's name for it is "bacterial SSU rRNA". It matches the Rfam family "Bacterial small subunit ribosomal RNA", at positions 338 to 916 of the family's 1533-position model. The record is from RNAcentral.